RNAcentral lists this ribosomal RNA (558 nucleotides) under uncultured bacterium. Its description in RNAcentral is "partial 16S ribosomal RNA". It matches the Rfam family "Bacterial small subunit ribosomal RNA", at positions 355 to 902 of the family's 1533-position model. The record is from RNAcentral.
UGGGGAAUAUUGCACAAUGGGCGCAAGCCUGAUGCAGCCAUGCCGCGUGUGUGAAGAAGGCCUUCGGGUUGUAAAGCACUUUCAGCGAGGAGGAAGGUGGUGAGCUUAAUACGCUCAUCAAUUGACGUUACUCGCAGAAGAAGCACCGGCUAACUCCGUGCCAGCAGCCGCGGUAAUACGGAGGGUGCAAGCGUUAAUCGGAAUUACUGGGCGUAAAGCGCACGCAGGCGGUUUGUUAAGUCAGAUGUGAAAUCCCCGGGCUCAACCUGGGAACUGCAUUUGAAACUGGCAAGCUAGAGUCUCGUAGAGGGGGGUAGAAUUCCAGGUGUAGCGGUGAAAUGCGUAGAGAUCUGGAGGAAUACCGGUGGCGAAGGCGGCCCCCCUGGACGAAGACUGACGCUCAGGUGCGAAAGCGUGGGGCAGCAAACAGGAUUAGAUACCCUGGUAGUCCACGCUGUAAACGAUGUCGAUUUUGGAGGUUGUGCCCUUGAGGCGUGGCUUCCGGAGCUAACGCGUUAAAUCGACCGCCUGGGGAGUACGGCCGCAAGGUUAAAACUC